RNAcentral lists this unclassified non-coding RNA (556 nucleotides) under Hevea brasiliensis (rubber tree). The record is from RNAcentral. Lineage: Eukaryota; Viridiplantae; Streptophyta; Magnoliopsida; Malpighiales; Euphorbiaceae.
GUUUGGGCAGCCUAUUAAAGUUAACUGGGCAUAUGCCAGUGGACAGAGGGAGGAUACUUCAAGUCACUUCAAUGUAUUUGUUGGUGAUCUGAGCCCAGAAGUUACUGAUGCCAUGUUGUUUGCUUGCUUCUCUGUUUACCCUAGUUGCUCUGAUGCUAGGGUAAUGUGGGAUCAGCAGACUGGGCGUUCUAGGGGUUUUGGAUUUGUUUCUUUCCGGAACCAACAGGAUGCCCAAAGUGCAAUUAAUGAUUUAACUGGGAAAUGGCUUGGUAGUAGACAGAUACGUUGUAACUGGGCUACAAAAGGAGCUAAUUCUAAUGAUGAGCAAGGCUCAGAAAUCAGAAGUGUCGUGGAAUUAACUAAUGGAUCAUCAGAAGAUGGUAAAGAUCCAGCAAGUAGUGAUGCUCCUGAAAACAACCCGCAAUAUACAACUGUUUAUGUGGGUAAUCUUGCUCCUGAGGCGACACAACUCGAUCUCCAUCGCCACUUUUAUGUCAUUGGUGCAGGAGUGAUAGAGGAAGUUCGGGUUCAACGUGAUAAAGGAUUUGGUUUUGUA